AUUGCCCCAGUAACGGCGAGUGAAGCGGCAACAGCUCAAAUUUGAAAUCCGGCCCCCCCGCGGGGGCCCGAGUUGUAAUUUGCAGAGGAUGCUUUUGGCGAGGCGCCUUCCGAGUUCCCUGGAACGGGACGCCACAGAGGGUGAGAGCCCCGUCUGGUCGGACGCCGAGCCUGUGUAAAGCUCCUUCGACGAGUCGAGUAGUUUGGGAAUGCUGCUCAAAGCGGGAGGUAUAUGUCUUCUAAAGCUAAAUACCGGCCAGAGACCGAUAGCGCACAAGUAGAGUGAUCGAAAGAUGAAAAGCACCUUGAAAAGGGGGUUAAACAGUACGUGAAAUUGUUGAAAGGGAAGCGCUCGUGACCAGACUUGGGGCGGGAGGAUCAGCCGGCGUUCUCGCCGGCGCACUCCGCCCGCCCCAGGCCAGCAUCAGUUCGCGCCGGGGGACAAAGGCGGCGGGAACGUGGCUCCCCCGGGAGUGUUAUAGCCCGCCGCGUCAUGCCCCGGGGCGGACUGAGGUUCGCGCAUCCCGCAAGGAUGCUGGCGUAAUGGUCACCAGCGACCCGUCUUGAAACACGGGCCAAGGAGUCGUCCUCGUAUGCGAGUGUUCGGGUGUCAAACCCCUACGCGUAAUGAAAGUGAACGUGGGUGAGAGCUUCGGCGCAUCAUCGACCGAUCCUGAUGUCCUCGGAUGGAUUUGAGUAGGAGCAUACGGGGCCGGACCCGAAAGAAGGUGAACUAUGCCUGCGUAGGGUGAAGCCAGAGGAAACUCUGGUGGAGGCUCGCAGCGGUUCUGACGUGCAAAUCGAUCGUCAAACGUGGGCAUGGGGGCGAAAGACUAAU
RNAcentral lists this ribosomal RNA (837 nucleotides) under Aschersonia sp. P.C. 627. Its description in RNAcentral is "eukaryotic LSU rRNA". It matches the Rfam family "Eukaryotic large subunit ribosomal RNA", at positions 74 to 935 of the family's 3401-position model. The record is from RNAcentral. Lineage: Eukaryota; Fungi; Ascomycota; Sordariomycetes; Hypocreales; Clavicipitaceae.